Molecule: ribosomal RNA, 253 nt
Filed under: uncultured bacterium
Lineage: Bacteria
Description: partial 16S ribosomal RNA
Rfam family: Bacterial small subunit ribosomal RNA
Source: RNAcentral
UACAGAGGUCUCAAGCGUUGUUCGGAUUCAUUGGGCGUAAAGGGUGCGUAGGCGGCGCGGUAAGUCGGGUGUGAAAUCUCGAAGCUUAACUCCGAAACUGCAUUCGAUACUGCCGUGCUUGAGGACUGGAGAGGAGACUGGAAUUUACGGUGUAGCGGUGAAAUGCGUAGAUAUCGUAAGGAAGACCAGUGGCGAAGGCGGGUCUCUGGACAGUUCCUGACGCUGAGGCACGAAGGUCAGGGGAGCAAACGGG